Molecule: long non-coding RNA, 584 nt
Organism: Toxotes jaculatrix (banded archerfish)
Lineage: Eukaryota; Metazoa; Chordata; Actinopteri; Toxotidae
Exons: 3
Source: RefSeq, a predicted model, not a curated record
AGUGAGAGAGCCACCUGAGCGAGCGAGCGAGCCACCUGAGCACCGACCUGAUCAUCUGCCUGCAGCCACCAACACACGUGGUCUAGCAUCCUGCUUCCUAUCAAAGUGCUGCAGGUGUGUGGACAUCCAGGAUAAAACACACCUGUGACAGGUUCGUUCUGCUGUCAGCAGCACCUGAUCGGGAUCAGUCACAUGGUGGAAGUCAGAGGAACCUCGGCCUCCUGGAGAACGUCAGGGAGAGAACCUGAGAGAGGGACGCAGCUACAGUGAGAGACGGUAUCUGAAACACUGUGAGGUCUUUGUGUGUCCUCAUGUCUCUGAGGUCUCUGAUGUCUUUGUGUGUCCCACCCUGCUCAGCAUCUCGUCCCCAACCAGCAAUGAAACAUGUUCUUCCUGGUGUGACGUCUUCAGCAGGUAAACACAGCGGCUGGAUGGUCUCUGAAAAACACGUUACUCUUCAUGUGUGUUGUAACAAAGGUGAUUUAACCUGAACCCUGAGAGCCUCUGCAUGUUUUUCCUUGAACCAUCUCCUGGUUAAGCUGCUGUAGGCUUCUCUCCCUCCCUCUCCCUCCCUCUCUCCCCCC